RNAcentral lists this ribosomal RNA (507 nucleotides) under uncultured bacterium. RNAcentral describes it as "bacterial SSU rRNA". It matches the Rfam family "Bacterial small subunit ribosomal RNA", at positions 28 to 526 of the family's 1533-position model. The record is from RNAcentral.
GACGAACGCUGGCGGCGUGGAUUAGGCAUGCAAGUCGAACGGUAUCAUCCUUUCGGGGGUGAGAGAGUGGCGAACUGGUGAGUAACACGUAGGUUAUCUACCCUCAAGACGGGGACAACCCAGGGAAACUUGGGCUAAUACCGGAUGUGAGCAACUUUUAGUUGUUUGAAAGGUGGCGUAAGCUGUCGCUUGGGGAUGAGCCUGCGUCCUAUUAGUUAGUUGGUGAGGUAACGGCUCACCUAGGCAAUGAUAGGUAGGCGGCCUUAACGGGUGGUCGCCCACACUGGGAUUGAGAUACGGCCCAGACUCCUACGGGAGGCAGCAGUCGAGAAUAGUCUACAAUGGUCGGAAGACUGAUAGUGCGACGCCGCGUGAACGAUGAAUCCCUUCGGGGUUAAAGUUCUUUUAUAUGUGAGCAGUGCUUCUAUAUUAACAGUAUGGGGAAGAGAUAUUAGCAUAUGAAUAAGCAAACGGCUAAACUCCGUGCCAGCAAGCCGACGGUAAUAC